This 176-nucleotide small RNA is filed under the name uncultured Prevotella sp. RNAcentral's name for it is "Bacteroidales-1 6S-Bacteroidales RNA suggested". It matches the Rfam family "Bacteroidales-1 6S-Bacteroidales RNA suggested". The record is from RNAcentral. Lineage: Bacteria; Pseudomonadati; Bacteroidota; Bacteroidia; Bacteroidales; Prevotellaceae.
CGUGCCGCAUAGAUCGGGAUACUCUACAUUAUAAUAAAUCAUCGGGACCGUUUCCCUUGCCAAUGGCGGGCCACAGUCAUCCCCCCGGGGGAGAGCAGUAAUGCCGGUGGAUUACAACAGCAGGGAGCACCCAAAUCGUGUGAAACAGGAGUUUUCACCAAAUCAUCGGCACGAAC